CCUACGGGGGGCUGCAGUGGGGAAUCUUGCGCAAUGCGCGAAAGCGUGACGCAGCAACGCCGCGUGGGGGAAGAAGGCCUUCGGGUUGUAAACCUCUUUCAGUUGGGACGAAGCUUCGGCGGUGAAUAGCCGCCUGGAGUGACGGUACCUUCACAAGAAGCCCCGGCUAACUACGUGCCAGCAGCCGCGGUAAUACGUAGGGGGCAAGCGUUGUCCGGAGUCAUUGGGGGUAGAGCGCGUGUACGCGUCUGAAAGUCCAAGGCUCAACCUUGGGAUGCGGGUGGAUACUGCCGGGCUCGAGUCCGGAAGAGGCGAGUGGAAUUCCUGGUGUAGCGGUGAAAUGCGCAGAUAUCAGGAGGAACACCGAUGGCGAAGGCAGCUCGCUGGGACGUGACUGACGCUGAGACGCGAAAGCGUGGGGAGCAAACAGGAUUAGAUACCCGAGUAGUC
RNAcentral lists this ribosomal RNA (450 nucleotides) under uncultured bacterium. RNAcentral describes it as "partial 16S ribosomal RNA". It matches the Rfam family "Bacterial small subunit ribosomal RNA", at positions 338 to 795 of the family's 1533-position model. The record is from RNAcentral.